This 480-nucleotide ribosomal RNA is filed under the name uncultured bacterium. RNAcentral's name for it is "bacterial SSU rRNA". It matches the Rfam family "Bacterial small subunit ribosomal RNA", at positions 337 to 810 of the family's 1533-position model. The record is from RNAcentral.
UCCUACGGGAGGCAGCAGUGGGGAAUAUUGCACAAUGGGGGAAACCCUGAUGCAGCGACGCCGCGUGCGGGAAGAAGGCCUUCGGGUUGUAAACCGCUUUCAAUUGGGAAGAAGGGAUGAGAGUUAAUACCUCUCUGACUUGACGGUACCUUUAGAAGAAGCACCGGCUAAUUUCGUGCCAGCAGCCGCGGUAAUACGAAAGGUGCAAGCGUUGUUCGGAUUUACUGGGCGUAAAGAGAUCGUAGGUGGUUUGUUAAGUCGGAUGUGAAAUCCCAGGGCUCAACCCUGGAACUGCAUUCGAUACUGGCAGACUAGAGUUUGGGAGGGGUAAGCGGAAUUCCGUGUGUAGCAGUGAAAUGCGUAGAUAUACGGAGGAACACCUGAGGCGAAGGCGGCUUACUGGACCAAUACUGACACUGAGGAUCGAAAGCAUGGGUAGCAAACAGGAUUAGAUACCCUGCUAGUCCACGCCCUCUCGAU